This is a long non-coding RNA of Neolamprologus brichardi, 341 nucleotides long. RefSeq lists it as uncharacterized. Lineage: Eukaryota; Metazoa; Chordata; Actinopteri; Cichliformes; Cichlidae. The record is from RefSeq and is a predicted model, not a curated record.
GAGCAGGAUGCUUCCACAGAUAGAUGUGCUCUCCCUUUCUCCAGUCAAAGUCUUCAGUAUUUUGAUUUUCCAUCUUCUAAUACACUUAAAUCGAGAAAGAAAAAUAAUGCUCUAUGCUGAGAAGAACCUCAUAGGGAGCUGUGCUUUUGAUUUUUACUCCGUCGCAUGGGAUGAGAGCACCGAUGCUACAGACGCUGCACAGCUGCUCAUUUUUUUGCGGGGAGUGGACGAGAGCACGAGCGCUUUAGAGUACACACCGCUGUGCACUGCCCACGCACACGCAAAGUCAGCUGAUCUCACCUGAUGCAGAUUUGCUCCUUGAUCAAGUGACAUUUGUCUGG